Molecule: non-coding RNA, 45 nt
Filed under: Trichobilharzia regenti
Lineage: Eukaryota; Metazoa; Platyhelminthes; Trematoda; Strigeidida; Schistosomatidae
Source: RNAcentral
AUUCACCUGACGAGUCCCAAAUAGGAAGAAAUGCGCAUCCUGGAC